RNAcentral lists this ribosomal RNA (497 nucleotides) under uncultured bacterium. Its description in RNAcentral is "partial 16S ribosomal RNA". It matches the Rfam family "Bacterial small subunit ribosomal RNA", at positions 28 to 507 of the family's 1533-position model. The record is from RNAcentral.
GAUGAACGCUGGCGGCGUGCCUAAUACAUGCAAGUCGAGCGAACAGAUGAGGAGCUUGCUCCUCUGACGUUAGCGGCGGACGGGUGAGUAACACGUGGAUAACCUACCUAUAAGACUGGGAUAACUUCGGGAAACCGGAGCUAAUACCGGAUAAUAUAUUGAACCGCAUGGUUCAAUAGUGAAAGACGGUUUUGCUGUCACUUAUAGCUGGAUCCGCGCCGCAUUAGCUAGUUGGUAAGGUAACGGCUUACCAAGGCAACGAUGCGUAGCCGACCUCAGAGGCGGAUCGGCGACACUGGAGCUGAGACGCGGACAAGGCGACUACGGGAGGCAGCAGUAGGGAAUCGGAGGCAGUGGGCGAAAGCAUGACGGAGCAAGCGCGCGUGUGUGAUGACGGCCUUCGGAGCGUGAAACUCUGUUAUUAGGGAAGAACAAAUGUGUAAGGAAAUGUGCACGUAUUGACGGUAACUGAUAAAGAAGCACCGGCUAACUACGUG